ACCGGAGCUAAUACCGGAUAAUAUAUUGAACCGCAUGGUUCAAUAGUGAAAGACGGUUUUGCUGUCACUUAUAGAUGGAUCCGCGCCGCAUUAGCUAGUUGGUAGGGUAACGGCUUACCAAGGCAACGAUGCGUAGCCGACCUGAGAGGGUGAUCGGCCACACUGGAACUGAGACACGGUCCAG
Molecule: ribosomal RNA, 184 nt
Filed under: uncultured Staphylococcus sp.
Lineage: Bacteria; Bacillati; Bacillota; Bacilli; Caryophanales; Staphylococcaceae
Description: partial 16S ribosomal RNA
Rfam family: Bacterial small subunit ribosomal RNA
Source: RNAcentral